RNAcentral lists this long non-coding RNA (420 nucleotides) under Bos taurus (domestic cattle). RNAcentral describes it as "long non-coding RNA NONBTAT022008". The record is from RNAcentral. Lineage: Eukaryota; Metazoa; Chordata; Mammalia; Artiodactyla; Bovidae.
GGAGACUGCAUUUUCAGUUAAUCACUUAAGGUUCAGAGUUGAGAGUCAACCUCCCAAAUCACAGCGGAUUCUGUUAUCACCAUUAACCUUCAAAACAAAGGGCUCUUGAAAUCCCCAGCAGAAUUGUUAAAAUCACUUCACUAUUUCCAUGUUAACGUUUUCUUUCUUUUUCUCCUGAUAGUGGAUCUGUAUCUACAUUAGAGACUGCAGGACAGAAGAGCUUGUGUUUCAAACCAUGCGUUCUCAUUGUUGUUCUAUUCAAAUACCCCAAAGUCUUGUAUACUUUCUGAUUUUGAGCAACACAAGGGACAAGAAGAAAGCACAAGAAAUUAAAGUGUCUCUCACUUGUAGGCACAUUUUCUAGCAAAUGACAGUGUAUUUCAACAACACUUAAUGGGUACUCUCAUGUCUUCUUUACCU